RNAcentral lists this ribosomal RNA (484 nucleotides) under uncultured bacterium. RNAcentral describes it as "partial 16S ribosomal RNA". It matches the Rfam family "Bacterial small subunit ribosomal RNA", at positions 30 to 507 of the family's 1533-position model. The record is from RNAcentral.
AUUGAACGCUGGCGGCAGGCCUAACACAUGCAAGUCGAGCGGAUGAAGGGAGCUUGCUCCUGGAUUCAGCGGCGGACGGGUGAGUAAUGCCUAGGAAUCUGCCUGGUAGUGGGGGAUAACGUCCGGAAACGGGCGCUAAUACCGCAUACGUCCUGAGGGAGAAAGUGGGGGAUCUUCGGACCUCACGCUAUCAGAUGAGCCUAGGUCGGAUUAGCUAGUUGGUGGGGUAAAGGCCUACCAAGGCGACGAUCCGUAACUGGUCUGAGAGGAUGAUCAGUCACACUGGAACUGAGACACGGUCCAGACGCCUACGGGAGGCAGCAGUGGGGAAUAUUGGACAAAGGGCGAAAGCCUGAUCCAGCCAUGCCGCGUGUGUGAAGAAGGUCUUCGGAUUGUAAAGCACUUUAAGUUGGGAGGAAGGGCAGUAAGUUAAUACCUUGCUGUUUUGACGUUACCAACAGAAUAAGCACCGGCUAACUUCGUG